Oncorhynchus tshawytscha (Chinook salmon) is the source of this 449-nucleotide long non-coding RNA. The record is from Ensembl. Lineage: Eukaryota; Metazoa; Chordata; Actinopteri; Salmoniformes; Salmonidae.
CGGUACAGAGUCAAUGUGGAGGCUAUAUACAGGGGGGUACCGGUACAGAGUCAAUGUGGAGGCUAUAUACAGGGGGUACCGGUACAGAGUCAAUGUGGAGGCUAUAUACAGGGGGUACCGGUACAGAGUCAAUGUGGAGACUAUAUACAGGGGGUACCGGUACAGAGUCAAUGUGGAGGCUAUAUACAGGGGGUACCGGUACAGAGUCAAUGUGGAGGCUAUAUACAGGGGGUACCGGUACAGAGUCAAUGUGGAGGCUAUAUACAGGGGGUACCGGUACAGAGUCCAUGUGGAGGCUAUAUACAGGGUAUUACGGAACAGAGUCAAUGUGGAGGCUAUAUACAGGGUAUUAUGGUACAGAGUCAAUGUGGAGGCUAUAUACAGGGUAUUACGGUACAGAGUCAAUGUGGAGGCUAUAUACAGGGGGUACCGGUACAGAGUCAAUGUGG